Molecule: long non-coding RNA, 225 nt
Filed under: Elaeis guineensis (African oil palm)
Lineage: Eukaryota; Viridiplantae; Streptophyta; Magnoliopsida; Arecales; Arecaceae
Description: long non-coding RNA (EGUI_LNC001093)
Source: RNAcentral
UUUCUCUCCGUUGCUUUCUUUCUUACAACCUAUCUUAGUUUUAGGACAAGAUUUUAGGAUUUAAGAUAAUGCCUUAUCUGAUCCUAACAAGGGUUGUGAGAGUCCUAAAGAAGGAGAAUCAAAAGUUUAGAGGAGGAUCUUAGAGGGUUGAGUCAGGUUCUUGAGGAAACCUGACCGGUAUGGGGCUAGUCGAGUUCUAAGGGUAAAGGCUAGAAUCUUGAAGCA